Molecule: ribosomal RNA, 107 nt
Filed under: Cordylochernes scorpioides
Lineage: Eukaryota; Metazoa; Arthropoda; Arachnida; Pseudoscorpiones; Chernetidae
Source: RNAcentral
UCUACGUUACAAUGUGAUUAACAUGGUUCUCGUCCAAAGUUAAGCAACGUUAGGCCUGGUUAGUACUUGGGAGGGUGACCACUUGGGAAUACCGGGUGCUGUAAGGU